This 261-nucleotide ribosomal RNA is filed under the name uncultured archaeon. Its description in RNAcentral is "partial 16S ribosomal RNA". It matches the Rfam family "Archaeal small subunit ribosomal RNA", at positions 748 to 1008 of the family's 1478-position model. The record is from RNAcentral.
AGGGUGUAAACGCUGCAGACUUGGUGUUGGGAACCCUUCGGGGGUGCUCAGUGCCGGAGAGAAGUUGUUAAGUCUGCUACUUGGGAGUACGUCCGCAAGGAUGAAACUUAAAGGAAUUGGCGGGGGAGGCACCGCAACGGGAGGAGCGUGCGGUUUAAUUGGAUUCAACGCCGAAAAACUCACCAGCAGCGACUGUUACAUGAAAGUCGAGUUGAAGACUCUGCUAGAUUUUCAGAGAGGAGGUGCAUGGCGUCAGUGACU